GCCGGGAAUACACACCUUGGUAAUAAGAGGUGUCUCCGGCCAGCGGGGAGGCUUCUAAGCCACUUUUGUUCGUGACGGGGCCCAUGGCCAGGCUGCCGGGCAUGGGGGAGCCGUAGCCGGAGUAGUGCAUCACCUGCUCUGACGCAGAGAUUCACAUCACCUGCUUUCCAUGAAUGCAGCCCCAGGGGGUCAUUUGGGAAGUAAAAGAACCCAUCAUGCCCAUCCUAUCAACGUAACACCUAGGAGCCCCAGUCAUGGACCAGAGCCCCAAUGUGCUAGGUGCUGUACAAACAGAAAACAAAAAGACAAACUUCGAUUGUGAACUCUUUGAGGCAGAAGCUAAGACAAGAGACAACAGAUGGAGAGAGAGAUGAGGGAGUAAAAUGAAACAAUGGGACAAUAUUGGUCACGAUUGGCAGUGGUCACAACAGCCCAGCCGUUUAAUUCUAGCAUAGAGAGCAUUCCCUCCUUCAAAACCAUACGAUUGUGAAAAAUCACUACCCCACUCAUUAUUUCUGUAUCUAUUGUUUAAUUAAAAUGGCUAAGAAACAUUCGUUGAGAUUUUUUUUUUCCCCUUUGGGAAGAGUGAGAAUGAUGCAGCCUUAGAAAAAAAAUGGAUUGAAUUUGGCAAAAGGAUUUUGCUUCCUGUUUUUCGAAGGUUAGCCCUUAUGUUUGUAAUUCUUCUUUCUUCCACCUGUCCAGUGCUUAAUUUGUGCCAGGACUUGCCAGACCUGAGCCCCAGUACAUCUAGGCUUGGCCAUUCAUAGUUCCGGCACCUCUUUCAUUACAAAUUAAGCCCUGCCCCCAGUCUCUCAAGCUAAUCCCUUUGUGUUCAAUACGUCAAUACGUCAGCCUCAUAGUCCUGGCUACACAUUGUUUUUGUACCAUGUUUUUGUGGUUUUUUUUUUUUACCAUAAUAGUUACUCCUGAUACAGUCCCCAGUGUAGACGCGAUAAAAUCAAUCCCCGAUCACGCUGUUGUCGACUCCGGAAAUCCACCGCGGUGAGAGGUGGAAGCAGAGUUGACGGGGGAGCGGCAGCGGUCGACUCGC
Molecule: long non-coding RNA, 1051 nt
Organism: Trachemys scripta elegans
Lineage: Eukaryota; Metazoa; Chordata; Testudines; Emydidae
Exons: 3
Source: RefSeq, a predicted model, not a curated record